AAGGAACAUAGAUGAAGUAUCUGAUGGCAGAUAAUUUAAUGUCCUUUAUUAUUUUUUUGUUUUAGGGGUGAGGCAAUGAGAAAUGGGAGAAAAAGUUAUCCUCUACAGAUCCAGCUGUAGUUUUGUUGCUGAGAAAACACAGCCAGCACCGUGAGAGGACUAGUGGGGAUGUAGUAUUAUCUUCAGCCAACACCACCAACAUUACAUUGAGAGCAAAAAUAAAAUGAAGGCGAACUUCAGAGAGGCAGUGGGUAUAAGAGGUUUUGCUGACAGCAUGGUGUAAAGAAUAAGACCUUGAGUCUGGUGAUGAUCUUAGGAGGCCUGGGUCCUAGAAUGCUUAGGAUCAUAUGCAAAACCCCACUCAAACUCAUUUCAACUGUCUGGAAAUAUAGUACAUGCUAUGGACUUACUUCAGCACCAUUCUCAGCUGCAGUGAGAGAUAAACUUGUUUUAGGUAUUUUCAGCAUGUGUUUCAUUCUGCAUGGCUGAUAUGACAUCACAGCAACUCACAUCUCUCCCCAUAACCCAGUCAGCAAAAAGGAUUUUUAAACCACUCAACAACAGCU
RNAcentral lists this long non-coding RNA (566 nucleotides) under Rhinopithecus bieti (black snub-nosed monkey). RNAcentral's name for it is "lncRNA (ENSRBIG00000045452.1)". Lineage: Eukaryota; Metazoa; Chordata; Mammalia; Primates; Cercopithecidae. The record is from RNAcentral.